UCCCUCCCGAGCAGCACGCAGGGCCAUGGGGGAGCCGAUGGGAGGAGUUUGGUGCCCCUUCUCCUUCCCAAGGUGAUUAUUUGUGCGGAGGAUAUGAGCGCCCUCCUCUCCCUCCUGAUGUAACGUGGUCGUCGGAGGAUCCGACGCAGCCGAUGCUCCCUUCCAGUUGCAUCUACGGACAGGUGCAUAUGCUCCCUUCCGGAUGCAUCUACGGACAGGUGCAUCGCCGGUCACGUCGGGAACCUGUAUCUCUCUAUGCAGGACGCUGUGACGUCUAGGGCAUUUUGCAUCUGCACAAGAUGGCAUUGCUACAAAAUAUGUAGAUGGAUAAGAUGUGCAGUGACUUGCCAAUUUACAAUUUAAUCUACUGGUUAGAUCUUUCUUCAAUUGACACUACACAACUAUCAGGUUUUCAGAUGUAUAUAUCCAGAGGGAUUUAUACAUCAGAUGGCAUUGGUGGUGAGAGAGAUUGGCUUCAUUUUUGUUGUAAUUGUUAGAUUUGGGGAUUUUUAUUGGUAUUGCAAAUUUUAUAUGGUUUCCCAAGGUGUCUUAUAGUAAAUGAUUGGGAGCAUGAUCAUA
This is a long non-coding RNA of Lolium rigidum, 579 nucleotides long. RefSeq lists it as uncharacterized. Lineage: Eukaryota; Viridiplantae; Streptophyta; Magnoliopsida; Poales; Poaceae. The record is from RefSeq and is a predicted model, not a curated record. The transcript is spliced from 2 exons.